GAUGAACGCUGGCGGCGUGCCUAAUACAUGCAAGUCGAGCGAACAGAUAAGGAGCUUGCUCCUUUGACGUUAGCGGCGGACGGGUGAGUAACACGUGGGUAACCUACCUAUAAGACUGGAAUAACUCCGGGAAACCGGGGCUAAUGCCGGAUAACAUUUAGAACCGCAUGGUUCUAAAGUGAAAGAUGGUUUUGCUAUCACUUAUAGAUGGACCCGCGCCGUAUUAGCUAGUUGGUAAGGUAGCGGCUUACCAAGGCAACGAUACGUAGCCGACCUGAGAGGGUGAUCGGCCACACUGGAACUGAGACACGGUCCAGACUCCUACGGGAGGCAGCAGUAGGGAAUCUUCCGCAAUGGGCGAAAGCCUGACGGAGCACCGCCGCGUGAGUGAUGAAGGUCUUCGGAUCGUAAAACUCUGUUAUUAGGGAAGAACAAAUGUGUAAGUAACUGUGCACGUCUUGACGGUACCUAAUCAGAAAGCCACGGCUAACUACGUG
Molecule: ribosomal RNA, 497 nt
Filed under: uncultured bacterium
Lineage: Bacteria
Description: partial 16S ribosomal RNA
Rfam family: Bacterial small subunit ribosomal RNA
Source: RNAcentral